This is a long non-coding RNA of Lathyrus oleraceus (garden pea), 1281 nucleotides long. RefSeq lists it as uncharacterized. The record is from RefSeq and is a predicted model, not a curated record. NCBI's taxonomy places the organism in Eukaryota, Viridiplantae, Streptophyta, Magnoliopsida, Fabales, Fabaceae. The transcript is spliced from 2 exons.
CAUUAGCUGGCUGCUUCCUUCUACUCGCUUUUGUGCUUAGUUGAUUUUGUCAGGGCCUAGCUCCGUUCACUCAGAGUUUUGAUGAUGAACUCUGAACUGCCUUUAGUAUUUUCAGGCUUUAGUGUGAUUUACGGAAGAAUUUCUACAGGGUAAAGAUAACGUCCUCCCCUUAAUGAUUGGCAUACAUCCCUUUUUAUAGAGCUAGGUAUAUGGUACCUUUGAUUGUGAGCUGGCAGGAGGUGAAAGGAAUCAUUCUGUUAGAAUUUGAUUUCUCUCAGAUUUGGUGGGGACCAAAAUAUGAAUCCUUGAAAUUGUUGUGAGUCAUUUCGUGCUUUGUCUGUAGUGACGUAUUUUUAUCCGUUUGAAACUCGGGUGGUCCCCUCCAUUUGGUAUGACAUCAUCUUGUAAAUUCGACUUCUUCAUAUGUGAGUAUUCUCAUAGAUUUGUUUAUGUGCUAUGGUUUGAACUUGCUCUAACGUGUGUGGCUUAUGCUUUGGCUCAGGUUUAGUAUUGCAGGACUUGCUUUUUUGUUUGCAGCAUUUGGCAAUUACACUACUAUGUUUCACAUUACCAAUUCAUUGUGGAUAUGUUUGUCCUGUAUUAUUGGUUUGGGUGAUUGUUUGCUUUGAGUUCUGAAGAACACAUGAUGUGGUUGCUGAAUUAUUAUCACACAUACCACUACUUUUGAGCUGCCUCAUUGCAUUGCAGAGCUUUUGAUUUAGGUCUCCCAAGGACUGCAUAGGCUAGGUUUGUGGGCUUCACUGCAGGUUUCUGUAUUGCUUCGGUCACAGCUGGUGCGUUGGUGUGUACGCGACAUUGCAGUUUUGGUCGCAGCUUUGUUCGCGACGUUGAAGCUUGGGGAAUCAUGUGAAAACAUGGUUGAAACUUUGAUUUAAUUUGAAAAUGUUUUUUUUCAUCGAGUUGCAUUGGCUAUUUUGGUUGAUCGGAUUGAUUUGCUUCUGCAGGAUCUUGCUUGUUGCAGGUUGCACUUGGCUACAAUUUGGCGUCGCCGUGAUGUCAUUAUUUGCAGCUAGCUUGGUGUUACGGCCUUGCUUGCAGUUGGGAGUGUUGCCGCUAGCAACUUUGGUUCAUUUUACCGCUAUGUUGUUGUUUGGUUGUUCUGCAGUUUGAAGUUUGGCAUGGAAAGUGGUGUUCGUGUGUACUGCUUGUUGGAUUGCUUUGUUUGUAAAUAAAAUCUUGUUGUAAUUCACUUUCGUCCUACUUGAAACAAUCAUUUGGACUUGGGCUAUAUAAUGUGGAAUUGAAGUAUGGUUUUAAUUA